This 233-nucleotide long non-coding RNA is filed under the name Coffea arabica (coffee). Its description in RNAcentral is "long non-coding RNA (CARA_LNC002911)". Lineage: Eukaryota; Viridiplantae; Streptophyta; Magnoliopsida; Gentianales; Rubiaceae. The record is from RNAcentral.
UGAUCACCACAUAUCACGCAUUUUUCCUUAGUUUAUCACUUGGUAUGUUCCUCAAACCCUUUCCCCUUCACUUUAGGACUUGCAUCUCAUGCUAGUUAGGGUUCAUUUGCGUGAAAAUCCCCUCCUGAUAAGGGAAACGAGCGAGUGUGGCUACUCGAUAGCCUUAGCACGCUAGUUUUACCUUCUAAUCCGAGGGAAAAUUAAAAUCAUAAAACUAGAGGUCAUCCCCGUAC